AAACACAAAGGUUUGGUCCUGGCCUUUCCAUUAGUUAUUAAUAAGAUUACACAUGCAAGCCUCCGCAUCCCGGUGAAAAUGCCCUCUAAGUCACCCAGUGACCUAAAGGAGCUGGUAUCAAGCACACAACCACAGUAGCUCAUAACACCUUGCUCAGCCACACCCCCACGGGAUACAGCAGUGAUAAAAAUUAAGCCAUGAAUGAAAGUUCGACUAAGCUAUAUUAAACAAGGGUUGGUAAAUUUCGUGCCAGCCACCGCGGCCAUACGAUUAACCCAAACUAAUAGACCCACGGCGUAAAGCGUGUUACAGAGAAAAAAAUAUACUAAAGUUAAAUUUUAACUAGGCCGUAGAAAGCUACAGUUAACAUAAAAAUACAGCACGAAAGUAACUUUAACACCUCCGACUACACGACAGCUAAGACCCAAACUGGGAUUAGAUACCCUACUAUGCUUAGCCCUAAACUUAGAUAGUUACCCUAAACAAAACUAUCCGCCAGAGAACUACUAGCAAUAGCUUAAAACUCAAAGGACUUGGCGGUGCUUUACAUCCCUCUAGAGGAGCCUGUUCUAUAAUCGAUAAACCCCGAUAUACCUCACCAUCUCUUGCUAAUUCAGCCUAUAUACCGCCAUCUUCAGCAAACCCUAAAAAGGAAGAAAAGUAAGCACAAGUAUCUUAACAUAAAAAAGUUAGGUCAAGGUGUAGCUCAUGAGAUGGGAAGCAAUGGGCUACAUUUUCUAAAAUUAGAACACCCACGAAGAUCCUUACGAAACUAAGUAUUAAAGGAGGAUUUAGUAGUAAAUUUGAGAAUAGAGAGCUCAAUUGAAUCGGGCCAUGAAGCACGCACACACCGCCCGUCACCCUCCUCAAGUGGUAACUCCCAAAAAAACCUAUUUAAAUUAUCACACCCACAAGAGGAGAUAAGUCGUAACAAGGUAAGCAUACUGGAAAGUGUGCUUGGAUAACAAGAUGU
This is a non-coding RNA of Felis catus (domestic cat), 973 nucleotides long. NCBI's taxonomy places the organism in Eukaryota, Metazoa, Chordata, Mammalia, Carnivora, Felidae. The record is from Rfam.